GAUGUGGGGAUUGUUGCCUGGCUCGAGGGAGGCAUUCCUUUGAUCUUUUCUCUCCUGGGAAGUACUCCAGAAGAACUGUGCCAGAAAUGUGCGCUCUCGGACCAGGCUUCAUUCCCCUCAUC
Molecule: microRNA precursor, 122 nt
Organism: Selaginella moellendorffii
Lineage: Eukaryota; Viridiplantae; Streptophyta; Lycopodiopsida; Selaginellales; Selaginellaceae
Rfam family: mir-166 microRNA precursor family
About the family: This family represents the plant microRNA (miRNA) precursor mir-166.
Source: Rfam